This 488-nucleotide long non-coding RNA is filed under the name Homo sapiens (human). RNAcentral describes it as "HSALNT0178727". The record is from RNAcentral. Lineage: Eukaryota; Metazoa; Chordata; Mammalia; Primates; Hominidae.
CCAGCGUGGUCCAGCACCUCCCAUUGGAGCUCAUGGAUGGUGUUGUCCGGAACCUCAGCAAUGAUGACAGUGUGACAGACUCGCAGAUGCUGACUGCCAUUAGCAGGCCUUUGCCUAUGCAGACCCCGUCCACCUGGCAUGCCUCCCUCUGCCAUUCUUUCCAUCCCGUGUGCAGAUCCACCGUCUUCGUAGGGCCUUCCUGGAUUCCUUGCCUUUAGUGGGUAAGAGUGUGGGCUCUCGAGGUAAGUUGCUAGAGGUCAAAUCCCGCCUCUACCACUUCUUGCCUGUGCGACCUUGGACAAGUUACUCAACCUCUCUGUUUGAGUUUCCUCAACUGUAAAAUGGAGUAUAACCAAACCCAUCAUCUAGGGUUGUUGUGAGGAUUAAAUUGGGUAAAACAAGAUAAUACACGAAACAUGUCUAGAACUGUGCUGUGGGAGACGCCGUUAUCAUUGUUAUGACUUUGCUGUCAUGGUUUUGUCUUUUUC